GAUGAACGCUGGCGGCGUGCCUAAUACAUGCAAGUCGAACGCAUUGAGAGAAGUGCUUGCACUUUUCAAUUUGAGUGGCGAACGGGUAAGUAACACGUGGGCAACCUACCUGAUAGCGGGGGAUAACGAGUGGAAACAUUCGCUAAUACCGCAUAACAAUAGAGAAGGCAUCUUCUUUAUUUAAAAGGCGCUUUCAAGCGUCACUAUCAGAUGGGCCCGCGGUGCAUUAGUUAGUUGGUGGGGUGAAGGCCUACCAAGACGAUGAUGCAUAGCCGAUUUGAGAGGAUGAUCGGCCACAUUGGGACUGAGAAACGGCCCAAACGCCUACGGGAGGCUGCAGUAGGGAAUCUUCCACAAUGGACGAAAGUCUGAUGGAGCAACGCCGCGUGUGUGAUGAAGGCUUUCGGGUCGUAAAGCACUGUUGUAUGGGAAGAAAUGCUAGGCUAGGAAAUGAGCUUAGUUUGACGGUACCAUACCAGAAAGGGACGGCUAAUACGUGCCAGCAGCCGCCGCCG
RNAcentral lists this ribosomal RNA (515 nucleotides) under uncultured bacterium. RNAcentral describes it as "partial 16S ribosomal RNA". It matches the Rfam family "Bacterial small subunit ribosomal RNA", at positions 28 to 523 of the family's 1533-position model. The record is from RNAcentral.